CUAUUAUUUUAAGUGUUAAUUUAUUUACCAGGGUAGUAUUAGUUAAGAUCUUUAAACCCAAAGAAUUUGGCGGUAUCUUAUUCCAUUUAGAGGAACCUACCCCAUAAUUGAUAAUACACGAUUAACUAUACUUAAUUUAUUUGUUUGUAUAUCUCCGUUAUCAGAAAAUCUUUUUGGAGUUAUAAUUUUCUUGAUUUAUAAUUAUAAAAUAUUUCAGGUCAAGGUGCAGCUUAUAAUUAAGAGGAGGUGGGUUACAAUAAAUUUUAGUUUAUUACGUAUUUAAUAGUGAAAUGCUAUUAAUAAAGGUGGAUUUAAUAGUAAUUUGAUUUAUUUAAUUCAAUUGAUAUUGGCUCUGAGGUGUGUACACAUCGCCCC
Molecule: ribosomal RNA, 375 nt
Filed under: Omocestus raymondi
Lineage: Eukaryota; Metazoa; Arthropoda; Insecta; Orthoptera; Acrididae
Description: partial 12S ribosomal RNA
Source: RNAcentral